GCACAGUGGGAGUGAGACCAAUCUUUUGGGCUAUGGGCUGCAUGGGAGCUGGAUAAGGCCUACGGCUGCCAGCUUUAUCUCCCUUCCCUGGUUACCCGUGUGACACAGCAGAGGCAGCCCUAAUACCCCUGGGGACAUAGCUCCUCUCACAAAAUAUAACAUCAAAAAUGACUCAGUACCAAAUAACUCUUAGACCUCAAAAGGUCCUCCCAAGCAGAACCCAAGGUGUGAUGAUAAUUAGAGGC
This 245-nucleotide long non-coding RNA is filed under the name Pan troglodytes (chimpanzee). RNAcentral's name for it is "long non-coding RNA NONPTRT012705". Lineage: Eukaryota; Metazoa; Chordata; Mammalia; Primates; Hominidae. The record is from RNAcentral.